This 458-nucleotide ribosomal RNA is filed under the name uncultured bacterium. Its description in RNAcentral is "bacterial SSU rRNA". It matches the Rfam family "Bacterial small subunit ribosomal RNA", at positions 340 to 786 of the family's 1533-position model. The record is from RNAcentral.
UACGGGAGGCAGCAGUGGGGAAUAUUGCACAAUGGGCGCAAGCCUGAUGCAGCCAUGCCGCGUGUAUGAAGAAGGCCUUCGGGUUGUAAAGUACUUUCAGUCGUGAGGAAGGUGUUAAGGUUAAUAACCUUAGCAAUUGACGUUAGCGACAGAAGAAGCACCGGCUAACUCCGUGCCAGCAGCCGCGGUAAUACGGAGGGUGCGAGCGUUAAUCGGAAUUACUGGGCGUAAAGGGCACGCAGGCGGUUAAUUAAGUUGGAUGUGAAAUCCCCGGGCUUAACCUGGGAAUGGCAUUCAAGACUGGUUAGCUAGAGUCUUGUAGAGGGGGUAGAAUUCCAUGUGUAGCGGUGAAAUGCGUAGAGAUGUGGAGGAAAUACCGGUGGCGAAAGGCGGCCCCUGGACAAAAGACUGACGCUCAUGUGCGAAAAGCGUGGGGAGCAAAACAGGGAUUAGAUACC